This is a long non-coding RNA of Lutra lutra (Eurasian river otter), 253 nucleotides long. RefSeq lists it as uncharacterized. The record is from RefSeq and is a predicted model, not a curated record. NCBI's taxonomy places the organism in Eukaryota, Metazoa, Chordata, Mammalia, Carnivora, Mustelidae. The transcript has 3 exons.
GCCAUAGCUCUAACAACCGUGUUGGACCAUGAUGUUUUAUGUAUCUAAGUCAUCUCUAUACCCGAUGUGGUGCUCGAUCUCACGACCCAGAGAUCAAGAGUUGCACGUUCGUCUGAGUGAGUCAGCCAGCGGCCCCUUGGUUUCAUCAUCUUGAAAAGAAGUAGUAAGGGUCAGCGAGCUGCCUGAGCGAGUUCUUGAGGUUGACAGCGAUCAGUGCUCCCAGCACAGACUGGAGAAACAGAACGUCAUUCUU